UUGUAAAAAUUACCAGACAUUAUUUUUGAGGUGUAAAUUAAAAACUUAAAUUUUUACAGUAGUUUUGUUUAUCUUUAUUUACUUUAUUUAUAGGAAGAAGGUAUUCGGCAAGAAACAAGUUCGCUUCAGACUUAUACCAACUUAGAACCGUUACAGGAAGUUGAUUUUAACUCAGCAACAGAUAUUAGUGAGAAAGAAAGUACUCAUACAGCAGCUGUUUCCCCAAAGACUUACAGCGAUUUACAAACGGUUCGGGAAGUGGAAUUUAAUCUAAAAUUACCAGACAUAAUUUAUGAGGUAUAAAAAACCAAAUAAAUAGCAGAUUUCUAAA
RNAcentral lists this long non-coding RNA (331 nucleotides) under Diabrotica virgifera virgifera (western corn rootworm). RNAcentral's name for it is "uncharacterized LOC126884558". The record is from RNAcentral. Lineage: Eukaryota; Metazoa; Arthropoda; Insecta; Coleoptera; Chrysomelidae.